GGCCUACCAUGGUUUUAACGGGUAACGGGGAAUUAGGGUUCGAUUCCGGAGAGGGAGCCUGAGAAACGGCUACCACAUCCAAGGAAGGCAGCAGGCGCGCAAAUUACCCAAUCCCGACACGGGGAGGUAGUGACAAUAAAUAACAAUACGGGGCUCAUUUGGGUCUCGUAAUUGGAAUGAGUACAAUUUAAAUCUCUUAACGAGGAACAAUUGGAGGGCAAGUCUGGUGCCAGCAGCCGCGGUAAUUCCAGCUCCAAUAGCGUAUAUUAAAGUUGUUGCAGUUAAAAAGCUCGUAGUUGAACUUCGGGGUUCACCCAUUGGUCAGGCUUAAUUGUCUGUACUGGUGAGAUGAGUCUCUACCUUCUGAGGAACUUUCACGCCAUUUAUUUGGUGUGAGGGGAGAUCAGGACUGUUACUUUGAAAAAAUUAGAGUGUUUAAAGCAGGCUAACGUCUGAAUACAUUAGCAUGGAAUAAUGAAAUAGGACGGAUUGAUUCUAUUUCGUUGGUUUCUAGGAUCACCGUAAUGAUUAAUAGGGAUAGUUGGGGGCAUUAGUAUUCAAUUGUCAGAGGUGAAAUUCUUGGAUUUAUUGAAGACUAACUACUGCGAAAGCAUUUGCCAAGGAUGUUUUCAUUAAUCAAGAACGAAAGUUAGGGGAUCGAAGACGAUCAGAUACCGUCGUAGUCUUAACCAUAAACUAUGCCGACUAGGGAUCGGACGCAGUUAAUUUUAUAAUGACGUGUUCGGCACCUUACG
Molecule: ribosomal RNA, 755 nt
Filed under: uncultured Glomeromycotina
Lineage: Eukaryota; Fungi; Glomeromycota
Description: SSU rRNA
Rfam family: Eukaryotic small subunit ribosomal RNA
Source: RNAcentral